GAUGAAGAACGUAGCGAAAUGCGAUAAGUAAUGCGAAUUGCAGAAUUUCCGUGAGUCAUCGAAUCUUUGAACGCACAUUGCGCCCGGCAGUAAUCUGCCGGGCAUGCCUGUCCGAGCGUCAUUUCUGCCCUCGAGCCUGUCCAGCAUCUAGGUGCUGUUCCGGCCCGGCGUUGGGGCACUACGGGAAGCCUCGUGCUAUCCCCCGUAGGCCCCGAAAUGAAGUGGCGGUCCUGCCGCGGCUCCCCCUGCGUAGUAUUACAGCUCGCUUCGGGACCCGGUGGAGGCCUGCCGUCAAACCUUACUCUCUAAGUUUGACCUCGGAUCAGGUAGGGUUACCCGCUGAACUUAAGCAUAUCAAUAAGCGGAGGA
RNAcentral lists this unclassified non-coding RNA (369 nucleotides) under soil metagenome. Its description in RNAcentral is "partial contains 5.8S ribosomal RNA, internal transcribed spacer 2, and large subunit ribosomal RNA". The stretch from base 1 to 121 matches the Rfam family "5.8S ribosomal RNA", at positions 35 to 154 of the family's 154-position model. The record is from RNAcentral.